GACGAACGCUGGCGGCGUGUCUAAUACAUGCAAGUCGAACGAGAGCGACCGGUGCUUGCACUGGUCAAUCUAGUGGCGAACGGGUGAGUAACACGUGGGUAACCUGCCCAUCAGAGGGGGAUAACAUCCGGAAACGGAUGCUAAAACCGCAUAGGUCUUCGAACCGCAUGGUUUGAAGAGGAAAAGAGGCGCAAGCUUCUGCUGAUGGAUGGACCCGCGGUGCAUUAGCUAGUUGGUGAGGUAACGGCUCACCAAGGCCGUGAUGCAUAGCCGACCUGAGAGGGUGAUCGGCCACAUUGGGACUGAGACACGGCCCAAACUCCUACGGGAGGCAGCAGUAGGGAAUCUUCCGCAAUGGACGCAAGUCUGACGGAGCAACGCCGCGUGAGUGAAGAAGGUUUUCGGAUCGUAAAACUCUGUUGUUAGAGAAGAACAAGUGCUAGAGUAACUGUUAGCGCCUUGACGGUAUCUAACCAGAAAGCCACGGCUAACUACGUG
This 498-nucleotide ribosomal RNA is filed under the name uncultured bacterium. RNAcentral describes it as "partial 16S ribosomal RNA". It matches the Rfam family "Bacterial small subunit ribosomal RNA", at positions 28 to 507 of the family's 1533-position model. The record is from RNAcentral.